CCUACGGGGUGCAGCAGUGAGGAAUAUUGGUCAAUGGGCGCGAGCCUGAACCAGCAAAGUAGCGUGAAGGAUGACUGCCCUACGGGUUGUAAACUUCUUUUAUAAAGGAAUAAAGUGAGGCACGUGUGCCUUUUUGUAUGUACUUUAUGAAUAAGGAUAGGCUAACUACGUGCCAUCAGCCGCGGUAAUACGGAGGAUCCGAGCGUUAUCCGGAGUUAUUGGGUUUAAAGGGAGCGUAGAUGGUUGGUUAAGUCAGUUGUGAAAGUUUGCGGCUCAACCGUAAAAUUGCAAUUGAUACUGGCAGUCUUGAGUACAGUAGAGGUAGGCGGAAUUCGUGGUGUAGCGGUGAAAUGCUUAGAUAUCACGAAGAACUCCGAUUGCGAAGGCAGCUUACUAAACUGCCACUGACAUUGAUGCUCGAAAGUGUGGGUAUCAAACAGGAUUAGAUACCCGUGUAGUC
Molecule: ribosomal RNA, 460 nt
Filed under: uncultured bacterium
Lineage: Bacteria
Description: partial 16S ribosomal RNA
Rfam family: Bacterial small subunit ribosomal RNA
Source: RNAcentral